GAUGAACGCUGGCGGCGUGCCUAAUACAUGCAAGUCGAGCGAACAGAUAAGGAGCUUGCUCCUUUGACGUUAGCGGCGGACGGGUGAGUAACACGUGGGUAACCUACCUAUAAGACUGGAAUAACUCCGGGAAACCGGGGCUAAUGCCGGGUAACAUGUUGAACCGCAUGGUUCUACAGUGAAAGGCGGCUUUGCUGUCACUUAUAGAUGGACCCGCGCCGUAUUAGCUAGUUGGUGAGGUAACGGCUCACCAAGGCAACGAUACGUAGCCGACCUGAGAGGGUGAUCGGCCACACUGGAACUGAGACACGGUCCAGACUCCUACGGGAGGCAGCAGUAGGGAAUCUUCCGCAAUGGGCGAAAGCCUGACGGAGCAACGCCGCGUGAGUGAUGAAGGUCUUCGGAUCGUAAAACUCUGUUAUUAGGGAAGAACAAAUGCGUAAGUAACUGUGCGCGUCUUGACGGUACCUAAUCAGAAAGCCACGGCUAACUACGUG
RNAcentral lists this ribosomal RNA (497 nucleotides) under uncultured bacterium. RNAcentral's name for it is "partial 16S ribosomal RNA". It matches the Rfam family "Bacterial small subunit ribosomal RNA", at positions 28 to 507 of the family's 1533-position model. The record is from RNAcentral.